CAAUGCUUAGUGGCAGACGGGUGAGUAACGCGUAGAUAAUGUGCCCUCUUGCGGGGGAUACCGUUUCGAAAGGAACGUUAAUACCGCAUAACACCCUUGGUGGGCAUCCAUCGAGGGUCAAACUUCCGGGGCGGGAGGAGCAAUCUGCGUUCUAUCAGGUAGUUGGUGGGGUAAUGGCCCACCAAGGCGACGAUCGCUAGCUGGUCUGAGAGGAUGAUCAGCCACACUGGGACUGAGACACGGCCCAGACUCCUACGGGAGGCAGCAGUGGGGAAUAUUGGACAAUGGGCGCAAGCCUGAUCCAGCAAUGCCGCGUGUGUGAAGAAGGCCUUCGGGUUGUAAAGCACUUUUAUCAGGAGCGAAAUACCACGGGUUAAUACCCUAUGGGGCUGACGGUACCUGAGGAAUAAGCACCGGCUAACUUCGUGCCAGCAGCCGCGGUAAUACGAAGGGUGCAAGCGUUAAUCGGAAUUACUGGGCGUAAAGGGUGCGUAGGCGGUUACUUAAGUCUGUCGUGAAAUCCCCGGGCUCAACCUGGGAAUGGCGAUGGAUACUGGGUGGCUAGAGUGUGU
RNAcentral lists this ribosomal RNA (572 nucleotides) under uncultured bacterium. Its description in RNAcentral is "bacterial SSU rRNA". It matches the Rfam family "Bacterial small subunit ribosomal RNA", at positions 86 to 651 of the family's 1533-position model. The record is from RNAcentral.